AUGCAGCUGAAACUAUGCAAAAAAAAAAAAAAGAGUAGGGAAAAAAAACCCCACAAACCCACCAUAAAUUCCCUUGCUAAGGACAUCACUAAGGGUGGAGGGUCCUGCUGUCCUGGUGCUGGGACCACUAGGGUGGAAAAACCUCAUCUGCUAAGAACACCCAACAACUUUGGUACCCAAGGGAGAUUUAUUUAUUCCUCCCCAAUUUAUCUCCCUGCCAGGAAGUUUCCCACAGCCCUGCAGGAGUGGGUGCAGCAGUAUCAGCAGGCACAGGUCUAUCAGGCUGAGCAGAAGCUUUUCCAGGAACUCUCUGGUGCCACACGUGACGUGCCCGGCCGAGGGGCGAUACGUGACAGGCAUUCACCAGCUCCCAGCCAGGAAUCUCUACGCUGGCAGGAUUCAGAGAGGCACAAAGGAGGGAAAAACAAGUUUCAGCCAGAAGAGAGAGGAAAAAAAAAAAAAAGGAUGCUGUUAGCAUUCCCUGUAUUAGAGGGGGUAAAAACAUUUUGCUGUCAACUCUGUUUUAAAGGGUAAGUGCCAACAGCAGCCCAGUUACUAUGCAAAUAAAUCCUGUGCUCAGCCUUUCCCUCUCAGUGCAAAGUUUUGGGGGCUGUUAGCCAGGGGAGCUGGGCCAUGGGGGCUGGCAGUGCCCCUCAUGUCCCCAGGGCUCCCAUCCCCAUCCUGGGGCUGCCACUGCAAAGCUCUGGACCUUGGGGCCAGUGGGGGUGCCCAAGUGACCCCAGACAAGGUGGGACAGCGAGGGGAGCACUGCAGAGGUGUGGGCUGGGUACCCCUGCUCCUUAUCAAAGGCAGAUUCAGGCAGCUGCUGGCAGCAGAGCCCUUGGCUGUGCCUCUGUGACAGGGGACACCCCAGGGAGAGGCAGAAAGGGCAGAAAUCUCACCCAAGACAUUCCCUUUCAUGGCUGGCUAGUGGGGAGGGCCUGGCAGCAGCCCCCUGGGGUACAGGGCUGUCUCUCACUCUCUGCCAGGUGCAAAGGGAGGUGAUGCCAGGCCGUGGUGCCAGACUGUGCCUGCAUCCUGCAGAUGAUGACCAGCACCCCAGCACUGCUAUUUGUGCUGACACUUCCCCGUGACAGCAGAGGGGCUGCACUGCCCCAGCCCACACAAGCCAAACCUCCCCCUGACGGCCCCAGUGUGAUGGUUUCCCGUAAAAAAGAUUUGAAUUUGUCAUGCAAAUGACUGGGCAUGUGGGCACAGCUGCUGAGAGGUGGCCUGGCUGGGUCAGCUGCCAGCAUGGCCACAGGGAUGUGCCCAGGACAAGGUCUGGCCCCCCAGAGAUGCUCCCACCCCUGGAACGUGCCAAGCAGAUGGUGCUGCCAAAACCACCCAGCCCUUGCCACUCCUCCUGCUGCCUGUGGCUCACUGAAGUUUUUAAAACAAGCAUCGUGACCCCCCUGCUUGUCCCUCCCCUGGCUUCUCUCUGGCUGUAGCUUUGUGCUGGGACAACAUAAGGAGGUGGAAGAGGAUGCUCCAUCAAGCAAUGCACUAACAAAAAUUAAAAUUACACUUUUAAGCGAUUUCAAAAUGAUUUGAGCACUUGUCCUGUGCCACCCUGGGAGCCAGGCAGCCACUGCCACUCCCCCACACCCCACUGCUCACACUCUGCACUUUAUCUCUUGUCCUUCUAACCCAGGCACCCUUUGAGCUCUCCCCACUUUCCCAGGCUAGCACAGGACAGGGAAGCGCUCGGCUCCUUCCCGAGGCUCCCAGCCCCACCUGGCAACACAGCCAGGAGCACAGCAGAGCCCAUCCUUCUGCCUGCCUGCAAUUCCACAGCUGGGUUUCUGCACCAGGAAGGAGGCAGCUCGGGCUGUUGUUUUCACGUGGCUGUUUCUCGAAAUGAGCCCAGAGCAAAACUGAGCAGGAUCCAGGAAUGGAACUGGGCAGCGCCGGGUGCUGGGAGCGCCGCCUGCACCCUCGCUUCUGGCAGCUCAGGAAAUCAGACAGCUAAAUGGAAAAUCAUCACUCUUUUCACUUCAGAGCGUGCUGCACACGUUUUUUUUUUUUCAACAACAAAUCGAUUUUCAGCACCUGUGCUGUCCCCAUCGAGCAGGGACGUGCGUCCCCAGCGAAGCCAAAUCUCAGCUCAGCAGUGCCAGGCGCCUCAAUGCUGCGGACGUGCGUCCCCAGCGAAGCCAGAUCCCAGCUCAGCAGUGCCAGGCGCCUCAAUGCUGCUGGGCUGGGGCUCCCCAGCAGCUCACAGCACCUCCACCCAAAAAUCCCCCCCUCCCUUCUCCUCAGAACAACUCCUGACAGGAGAAAGAGGAAUUGCUGAAUAAUCUCCAGCCCCAAUAGCACUUCAAAGGCAGGGCCUGGGCCAGGCUGUGCUCCCGCCAGGGCUGGAUGCUGCACUCAGCUCUCACUCCUCUGGCAGCCCCACAGUGCAUCCAGAAAGCAAUUACUUAAAAAGGAAAUAAAUGUCACCCACAUGGUUGUAAGCAAAACCCCGGGCAGGGUGAACAGAGCCCCACCAGGAUCUGCAUUCUCACGCAACACAAGCAAGGCAGGAGCGUUGUUUCCCUUCCUCGAGAUGGGCUGUUCACUCUGGGGGCUGCUGAUGACAGUAGACAUGCCCACUGUGGGCAUUUAAGCUCCCCAGGGCAGCCACAGUGCCUCUGCUUUGGCAUCCUCUUCCCCCAGGAUGGCUUUAGGCAUCACCACCUGAACCAGCAGCAGAUGCUGAUGCCAGAAACGCAGCCCUGCCUGGCACCAGGCCUGCUGUGACCUUGAUGGACAUGAACCAGAUAACUGGCACGAUCAAACAGAGUAAUUUUAUUUACUUUUACAGAUUGAUUCCUGAAGUUUGUAAUUGUCAAAAGCAAAACACCAAACUUCUAAAGCAAGUUGGUCGGGGGAAGUCGAACGCAGCACCAGAGCAGCAAAUGAGGCUCAAGGGUGAGAUUUUCCCUGCUGCUGGCACCUGCCUGGUUCUGCUGGACCUGAGACACCCUCAGCAAAUCCCCUUAACCAGGACAGGGCUCUGGCAGACCACUCUCUUUCAGAGAAAUUCAAUUUUAGUAAAAUAACCUCCAACUUAUUUUAAGCAAAUACCAGAAGGAAAGCGACGGGCCCCAAAACUCUGGGAUGAGUUUCCCCGUCUGCCCCACUGGAGCUGCACCAGGACGGCAGCACCUCCCACCCUCUGCCCCACACAGAGCGAGCAAGCACUUGGGAGCAGCCCAGAGGUGCCUGGGGACACGCAGAGCAAGGGCAGCACUGGGAUGCUGCAGGAUGGGGACAGCACCUGAUGCCAGCCAGGGUGGCAGCAGGGGCUCUUCCCACAGGACACGCUGCCAGCCCACCCUGGUGGGCUGGGAAAUACUCCCUAAGGCACUGCAGCCAAGCACACAUGGUACCAUACAGCACUGAAUCAUUUUAAAAGUUAAAAUAGUUUAUUGCUGUCUUUGUAGAAAUGCACUUACAUCGCCUGUUCUCUUCCUUUAUUUGGCUGUUGGAUUACAGGCAUAAAAAGGUUACAUUUACCUAUUUGUUCAGUGACAUAACACCUUUCUCUCUGUUGCCCCACUCAUGAUAUUCUCCUAAACCUUGCUGGCCAACAGCCCCAAAUCUCUUUUACAUAAAUACUGUAAAUGUCUCCAUAGGUUGCAGCAUUGUAACAAAAGAUCUACCAAAGUAGACAAAAUGUUCAGUAUUCUUGGUUGGUUUUUUGCAUUUAAAAAUAUACCUAAAUUUGAGAUAAUCUUAACAGAGUAACAAUUACAAUAAGAAAAUAGUACAGUGCGUUGACUAAAGGAAUAUUCUGCUCUCCUUCAAGCCAAUAUUCCCUUUUGCAUGUUGAAGUGAUUCAGCAAUUACUUAAGAACUUUUACCUACAUACAAUAAUUUAGUAAAAUGAGAAUUAAACAAGGCAGAUACUUACUACUAUUCUUCUGUCUGCAAUUCACAGCUCAUGCGAAUAAAAUCGCAAUAAAUAUUAAAAAAUAGUUUUUCUUUCGCUUUUUUUUUUUUCUUUUCUGUAAGGCAUCUCUGAGUAUUACAAAGUUUUUGUACAACCAAAAAAAUAAGAUUGCUUUUUUUCCAUGUUCUCCGAGUACCUCUGUACCUCACCAGUAAAUAAGAGGAUUGUAGGCUGGAUGAGGAAGGAAGGAGGGGGGGCAGAAAAUCUGAAUGAAAAAUCUACACCAUGUCCUCCUGAGGUGAUCUCAAGCACAAAGAGACACCUCGGGCUGUAACAGAAGCAGACCAACAAUCUGUCGUUUCCCUGUGAAACGUUUUCAGCCGCUUUCAGAACGUCUUCAAGACGGUAGAAGAAAAAACAAAAAACAAAAAAAAAAAAAAGAAAAAAAAAAAAAAUGGGGGAGGAAAAAAAAAAAAACCCAAAAAAACUUACCAGAAGUCCACUUCCAUAAGCACAACCAGGAUCUGAGCCCGCCCUAUAAACAGCUCAGGUAUGGAUACGCGCCUACGCGACGGGGAGGAAGGGACGGGGCGACGCUGUUGUUGUCGUUUAGUUUUGUGGUUUUUUCCGCCCGCUGCGCGUCCCCGCCGCGGCUCCGCCGUCCCGGGGGGGGGGGGGGGGGGGGGGGGGGGGGGGGGGGGGGGGGGGGGGGGGGGGGGGGGGGGGGGGGGGGGGGGGG
Molecule: long non-coding RNA, 4619 nt
Organism: Ficedula albicollis (Collared flycatcher)
Lineage: Eukaryota; Metazoa; Chordata; Aves; Passeriformes; Muscicapidae
Source: Ensembl